Girardinichthys multiradiatus is the source of this 1937-nucleotide non-coding RNA. The record is from the annotation of a RefSeq genome assembly. Lineage: Eukaryota; Metazoa; Chordata; Actinopteri; Cyprinodontiformes; Goodeidae.
ACAUAAGCCCAGAUAAUUAUUGGACCUGCAAAAGAUCAAACCAAACCUGUUUCUGAAUUAUUUACGAGAUACUUUUAAAAUAUGUAUAAGUUACAUGAAAUGCUUUUUAUAUGUUUAAGUUCUUAUUACUAUGCAGUAUAUAACCUGUAGAAGGAGAAACAGAACACAAAUCUGACUGAAUCAACCUCAGAAACUUCGACCACAUUUUGUCAGAGUAUAAAAAUAAAAAGAAUUUAAACAGACCAAACUAAAACAUUAUUUUUCAAACCAAGGAGUGUAUAAAAACUGUCAGAGCAAACAGCUAUCCCUCAAAAAAGCAAAAGACAAACAAACUGAACUCUGACAAAAUCAAAGUCUUCUGGAAACUUUUAGUGUUGGUUAAAAAGUGAAGCAUGAGAACAAGUUUCAACAAGACGUUUCAUGUUUAAAUUAUGUCAAUAUGAGUUUUAACAAAAUUAUCCUAAGAAGGUAAACACUUUUGACUUCUGGUCUAUUUUUCACAAAAUUAGAAACCUAAAUUUUAAAUGUAUUAUUAUUAUUAUUUUGUUUAACCUUUAUUUAACCAGGAUAGUCCCACUGAGAUUAAAUACCUCUUUGUCAAGGGAGUCCUGGGCAAGAGGCAGCAGCAAAUAAAACACAAAGUGACAUAGUUAAAACAAAAACAACUAAUUAUGAAAAACGGGUACAUGUGAUUAAAAUUACUACAUGAAAUAAUGACAAAGAUAUUCACAAUUUACUGGAUCACUUGAUAUCCAGAACCUCUUGAAACAGAAAUAUAUUACAGCAAUGCAAGGAAACAAAAAGACAAAAUUACAAAUAAAGAAACGUCCUUCUCGGGUUACCCCCAGAGCAUUUAAUCCCUCUAAACAUUAAUAUAUGCAGGACAAAUCUUUCAGCAGUGAAAAGGAGGCAUUAUGAGCUGUAGAGCUGAGCUCCAUGUGACUGACUCUGUGUGUUUGCAUAUGUGUCCUGCCUCUCUGCUCCCAGCUGUUAAGAGGUCAGAGUUGAUCAGUGUCUGUCCAGGUCUUUCAGAGCCACUGACACACCAGCAGAACAAUGAAGAUGUUACUGACUCUACUGAUGACCACCCUGGAGCUCCUGGUUCAGGGUUCCUCAGGAGACAUCAUCCUGACUCAGACUCCUGGAGCUCAGUCUGGUGUUCAGGGACAGACUGUCUCUAUCAGAUGUAAAGCUGACAGACUUAUAGAUGAUGACAUUAACUGGUAUCUUCAGAAACCUGGAGAAGCUCCAAAACUUUUGAUUUGUGAUACAACAGAACGUCUGUCUGGAGUUCCAGAGCGUUUUCGAGCAACAGCUCAUCAGACUGACUUCACUUUAAUAAUCAGUGGUUUUCAGACUGAGGAUGCAGGAGUUUACUAUUGUCAGCAGCAUAACAGCUUCCCAUUCACACAGUGAUACAAGGUCGUACAAAAACCUCACAGCAGAAGAGGAAGUGAUCUGACUCAACAAGCUGCAUCUAUCUAUCUAUCUAUCUAUCUAUCUAUCUAUCUAUCUAUCUAUCUAUCUAUCUAUCUAUCACAGCUAGAACAACUGACAAUGAUCUUUGACCUUUAUGAUUUCUAAAUGACAUAAAAUGCAUAAAUGUGCAAUAGGUGUGGAUAUGAAUUAGUCAAUCCUGAACUGCCAUUCUGAGCUUCACCUAUUUUGUGAUGCUCUGUGUCAGUUGUGUUUUCCUUGUGUUUUACGAUUUUACAUCAAUUUUUGCGAGUAUUUUCAAGGGAAACUUUACCAUUUCUCUAGUGUCUUAUGAAGGUGUGUUAACAUCCACCAGAAGAGGAAGAAGCAUAUAGAAACUAGUCUUGGGCUAUAAUGUGGCAUAUUUACACAUAUUGUGUAUCUAAAAAACUUAGACAACAUCUAUCUGAGAUCAACUCACUGUCUGAAUUAAUAAAGUUAUGGAGGAUCUUUCAAUAUCA